UGUCUCUCUACCACAACCCCAGAGGUCAUAUUCUAGUCUGGUCUGUCUCUCAUCAACAACCCCAGAGGUCAUAUUCUAGUCUGGUCUGUCUCUCUACUACAACCCCAGAGGUCAUAUUCUAGUCUGGUCUGUCUCUCUACUUCAGCCCCAGAGGUCAUAUUCUAGUCUGGUCUGUCUCUCUACUACAACCCCAGAGGUCAUAUUCUAGUCUGGUCUGUCUCUCAUCAACAACCCCAGAGGUCAUAUUCUAGUCUGGUCUGUCUCUCUAAUACAACCCCAGAGGUCAUAUUCUAGUCUGGUCUGUCUCUCUACUACAACCCCAGAGGUCAUAUUCUAGUCUGGUCUGUCUCUCUACUACAACCCCAGAGGUCAUAUUCUAGUCUGGUCUGUCUCUGUACUACAACCCCAGAGGUCAUAUUCUAUCCUGGUCUGUCUCUCUACUACAGCCCCAGAGGUCAUAUUCUAGUCUGGUCUGUCUCUCAUCAACAACCCCAGAGGUCAUAUUCUAGUCUGGUCUGUCUCUCUACUACAACCCCAGAGGUCAUAUUCUAGUCUGGUCUGUCUCUCUACUACAACCCCAGAGGUGAUAUUCUAGUCUGGUCUGUCUCUCUACCACAACCCCAGAGGUCAUAUUCUAGUCUGGUCUGUCUCUCUACUACAACCCCAGAGGUCAUAUUCUAGUCUGGUCUGUCUCUCAUCAACAACCCCAGAGGUCAUAUUCUAGUCUGGUCUGUCUCUCUACUACAACCCCAGAGGUCAUAUUCUAGUCUGGUCUGUCUCUCUACUACAACCCCAGAGGUCAUAUUCUAGUCUGGUCUGUCUCUCUACUACAACCCCAGAGGUCAUAUUCUAGUCUGGUCUGUCUCUCUACUACAGCCCCAGAGGUAAUAUUCUAGUCUGGUCUGUCUCUCUACUACA
RNAcentral lists this long non-coding RNA (918 nucleotides) under Salmo salar (Atlantic salmon). RNAcentral's name for it is "lncRNA (ENSSSAG00000100487.1)". The record is from RNAcentral. Lineage: Eukaryota; Metazoa; Chordata; Actinopteri; Salmoniformes; Salmonidae.